RNAcentral lists this ribosomal RNA (720 nucleotides) under uncultured Acidobacteriota bacterium. RNAcentral's name for it is "bacterial SSU rRNA". It matches the Rfam family "Bacterial small subunit ribosomal RNA", at positions 80 to 779 of the family's 1533-position model. Lineage: Bacteria; Pseudomonadati; Acidobacteriota. The record is from RNAcentral.
CAAUCCCUGAGUAGAGUGGCAAACGGGUGAGUAACACGUGGGUGACCUGCCUUCGAGCGGGGGAUAACGUCCCGAAAGGGACGCUAAUACCGCAUAACAUCCUGGUCUUGGACGACCGGUGAUCAAAGCUGGGGAUUCGCAAGAACCUGGCACUUGAAGAGGGGCCCGCGCCUGAUUAGCUAGUUGGUGAGGUAACGGCUCACCAAGGCAACGAUCAGUAUCCGGCCUGAGAGGGCGGACGGACACACUGGGACUGAGACACGGCCCAGACUCCUACGGGAGGCAGCAGUGGGGAAUUGUUCGCAAUGGGCGCAAGCCUGACGACGCAACGCCGCGUGGAGGAUGAAGGUCUUCGGAUUGUAAACUCCUGUUGCUCGGGACGAAAAGCUUCGACCUAACACGUCGAAGUCUGACGGUACCGAGUGAGGAAGCCCCGGCUAACUCUGUGCCAGCAGCCGCGGUAAUACAGAGGGGGCAAGCAUUGUUCGGAAUUACUGGGCGUAAAGGGCGCGUAGGCGGCCUGCUAAGUCGAACGUGAAAUCCCUGGGCUCAACCCAGGAACUGCGUCCGAUACUGGUUGGCUUGAAUCCGGGAGAGGGAUGUGGAAUUCCAGGUGUAGCGGUGAAAUGCGUAGAUAUCUGGAGGAACACCGGUGGCGAAGGCGACAUCCUGGACCGGUAUUGACGCUGAGGCGCGAAAGCCAGGGGAGCAAACGGGAUU